Molecule: non-coding RNA, 188 nt
Organism: Caenorhabditis elegans
Lineage: Eukaryota; Metazoa; Nematoda; Chromadorea; Rhabditida; Rhabditidae
Source: Ensembl
GGCGGAAUAUUCGAUUUUCUUGAUUUUAAACAAUUUUUUUCUAAUUUUUACUGCAUUUUCGGGUAAUUUCGACCAAAUUAUAGCAAAAUCCGCUGAAUUUCGAGCUAAAAACAAAACAAAAAGUGUUGGCGUGACACAUGUGUGCUGUGACUACCAUCUAAACAAUGCACUAAUGCGUUAUGGCACAU